AAAAAUCUAAAGAAAAGAUACACUCUGCAAAAGCUGCAACGUCGUACAUAUACAGACCCACCCCCUCUUGUCAUUGUCUUCUUCCACGCCAACCACCCCAAAGGACCCAUCGUUUCUUCUUCUUCUGAAUCAGAGAAUCAAGACCUCCAUUAGAAAACACCAUCGAAGACCUCUUGAUCUUCAGCUUCUUCUGCAGCAGCACAAACCAAAAGCAAUGACCCCUAAGUUGUUCCUCUUCUGUCUCGAAGCAGCAGGACCUGCAACCUUCCAACGAUCCCUCCCCACCAUGAACUGAUCUUCCUCAGUCGCUGAACACCCAGAAACACCUCCUCCAUCGACGCUCCUCUUCUUCAACUUCAUAGAGUCCAUUUUGAAGUCCGUUCGUUGAGUUGUUCGGGGUCGAGCGCUAGAGACGUUUGAGGUCGUCGGGUCCCUGUUCCGUUUGUGGUCAUUUUCUGGUGCAUUUCUGGUCCCUUACUCUAUUUUGGUGUGGUUAAAAGUAUAAUAAGAGUAGUAGAGGUUGAAUUCCGGGAACUGAGUUGGUAGUUGUAAGAGAUUUUGUGUUUUUGCUUAUCGUGUGAUGCACUAUUCUGUCGAAGGGUGUUCUAAAUUUGGUGUUUGUCGAUUUUUCUAUAGAAUUUGCUAGUGUUCAAGUUGUCGCAAAUCUGUUAACCAUGAAAUUCACAUCUCUGAUUCGUUGAAAUGUUUGAGCUGCUGCAGUUUUGUCUCAAAUUCUCGAUUACUGUCAAUAUGUGUCCAAUUUCCCUUUGUGAUUUUGUUUUGUUUCAUUUUUCAGUCAUUCUUUGGCUUGUUACGAGUAGAGUUUGGAUGCGGAACUUAUUGUCUGUUCGUUAAUAUGGAGCUACUGGAAAU
Molecule: long non-coding RNA, 873 nt
Filed under: Nicotiana tabacum (common tobacco)
Lineage: Eukaryota; Viridiplantae; Streptophyta; Magnoliopsida; Solanales; Solanaceae
Description: long non-coding RNA (NTAB_LNC007541)
Source: RNAcentral